GCUCCUUGAUUCAGCGGCGGACGGGUGAGUAAUGCCUAGGAAUCUGCCUGGUAGUGGGGGACAACGUUUCGAAAGGAACGCUAAUACCGCAUACGUCCUACGGGAGAAAGCAGGGGACCUUCGGGCCUUGCGCUAUCAGAUGAGCCUAGGUCGGAUUAGCUAGUAGGUGAGGUAAUGGCUCACCUAGGCGACGAUCCGUAACUGGUCUGAGAGGAUGAUCAGUCACACUGGAACUGAGACACGGUCCAGACUCCUACGGGAGGCAGCAGUGGGGAAUAUUGGACAAUGGGCGAAAGCCUGAUCCAGCCAUGCCGCGUGUGUGAAGAAGGUCUUCGGAUUGUAAAGCACUUUAAGUUGGGAGGAAGGGCAGUAAGUUAAUACCUUGCUGUUUUGACGUUACCGACAGAAUAAGCACCGGCUAACUCUGUGCCAGCAGCCGCGGUAAUACAGAGGGUGCAAGCGUUAAUCGGAAUUACUGGGCGUAAAGCGCGCGUAGGUGGUUCGUUAAGUUGGAUGUGAAAGCCCCGGGCUCAACCUGGGAACUGCAUCCAAAACUGGCGAGCUAGAGUAUGGUAGAAGGGUUGGUUGAAAUUUCCUGUGUAGCGGUGAAAUGCGUAGAUAUAGGAAGGAACACCAGUGGCGAAGGCGACC
RNAcentral lists this ribosomal RNA (651 nucleotides) under Pseudomonas mosselii. Its description in RNAcentral is "bacterial SSU rRNA". It matches the Rfam family "Bacterial small subunit ribosomal RNA", at positions 82 to 728 of the family's 1533-position model. The record is from RNAcentral. Lineage: Bacteria; Pseudomonadati; Pseudomonadota; Gammaproteobacteria; Pseudomonadales; Pseudomonadaceae.